RNAcentral lists this non-coding RNA (22 nucleotides) under Arabidopsis thaliana (thale cress). Lineage: Eukaryota; Viridiplantae; Streptophyta; Magnoliopsida; Brassicales; Brassicaceae. The record is from RNAcentral.
ACGGCGCGAUUAAAGACUUUGG